UCAAGAGUCCAAAGAUAAAGUCCAAAAGAGUCUAUGCCUGCUAAAUGCAGCAAAAAAAAAUGAAAAGACAGCAAAUAAUGGUGCAGUAUAUCCCAACCUGUUGGGAUAUACUGCACCAUUAUUUGCUGUCUUUUUUCAUUUUUUUUUCAUAUGGAUUUCACGAAUAUCCCAUGUCCAUACAUUACUGAGGAAUACUUCCCCUGACAAGAUUGUGACCGACUUCUUAUACAAGGUUUUUUUGGACUUUUUUUUUUGCUGCAUUUAUCAGGCAUAGACUUUUUUGGACUUUAUCUUUGGACUCUUGAUUAUUAUUCAUUAUCCAUAUUUCAAGCUCUUUUUGUUUUUUUUAUCUUGUAUGUAUUUUCUCUUGUAUAGUGUCUUGUAUAUGUGCUUGUAUAGUUUAUAAUCAGGUUUAUUUAUUUAUAUUUUAUUUCACCUGUGGCGCCACCUCCCCUUUCACCUUUUUUAGUUCAGUAGUGCAUUGCCUGGAAGUAGGUACAUGAUCCCACAGCUCAUGGUUCAUAUGGAAUAGAUUACUUUAUGCUUACAUCUGCCACAUAUUUCACCUGAGCAAAUACUGCUUUAGUCCUUACUAGGGUGAAUUAAAUAUAUUGAAUUGUCACAAACAAAAAUGUAGUGAUAUUUAUUUAAAGCUUGCAACAAAUCGGUAGAGGGUUGAUAUAACAGUAAUCACAACACUGUAAAGUCUGCAUUGUUAAUUUAUCCACAAGAGUGAGAAGUUUGUGGACGCUUCUCAAUAUAUUCAAUAAUCUAAAAUAAAUACAUUUUAUUGUGCUUUUCUUUGCACAGUGAGAUAAUUACAAAUUGAAAUUACAUUUUAAUAUUUUUUUACAGAAGAUUUUUUUUCAUGUUGUAAGUAUUGUACAUUUUUUCAAGUCACUUUAUUCUGUACAUUUUAUUCUAUAUUUAAAAUUCUGUCCCUCUCCCCCAGCUUGUGAGCUCAUUUUUAUCGAUUAUCUCCCUACCUUCCAUGCAUAUAGUAAAAAUAAUAUUAAAGUAAAA
Molecule: non-coding RNA, 1023 nt
Organism: Pelobates cultripes (western spadefoot toad)
Lineage: Eukaryota; Metazoa; Chordata; Amphibia; Anura; Pelobatidae
Source: the annotation of a GenBank genome assembly